This is a non-coding RNA of Erinaceus europaeus (western European hedgehog), 241 nucleotides long. The record is from Rfam. NCBI's taxonomy places the organism in Eukaryota, Metazoa, Chordata, Mammalia, Eulipotyphla, Erinaceidae.
GGAGAAUUCUUUAUGUUGAAUCGACAUCUGUUUUCCCUACAAGUUGCUCUCUACAAGUUGGAGACAUACAGAACCUAAUGUCUAACGCUGCUUCCACAAAUAUUUGAGGACCACUAACACAUUUCCUUCUUCCACUUGCUCCACAAGGCUCCUUUUCUUCCAGUAAAGCAUGCCUGGUUAUUUUAAACAGGGAGGCAGUGUGGGGUAGUGGAAAGAACGCCAACUUUGAAACUAGACACAC